RNAcentral lists this ribosomal RNA (915 nucleotides) under Ionopezia gerardii. RNAcentral's name for it is "eukaryotic LSU rRNA". It matches the Rfam family "Eukaryotic large subunit ribosomal RNA", at positions 29 to 947 of the family's 3401-position model. The record is from RNAcentral. Lineage: Eukaryota; Fungi; Ascomycota; Pezizomycetes; Pezizales; Pezizaceae.
UGAACUUAAGCAUAUCAAUAAGCGGAGGAAAAGAAACCAACAGGGAUUGCCUCAGUAACGGCGAGUGAAGCGGCAAAAGCUCAGAUUUUAAAUCCAGUGUCUUUGGGACAUUUGAGUUGUAAUCUGCAGAGAGGUGUUCCGAGCAGUAUCUUGGCUCAAGUUCCUUGGAACAGGAUGUCAUGGAGGGUGAGAAUCCCGUGAAUGGCCUUGAUCUUACUUGCUCAUUGUGAACCUUCUUCAGCGAGUCGAGUUGUUUGGGAAUGCAGCUCUAAAUGGGUGGUAAAUUUCAUCUAAAGCUAAAUACUGGCAGGAGACCGAUAGCGCACAAGUAGAGUGAUCGAAAGAUGAAAAGAACUUUGGAAAGAGAGUUAAAUAGUACGUGAAAUUGUUGAAAGGGAAGCACUUGCUCCCAGACUUGCCUGUGGCUGAUCAGCCUUCAUUCUUUGGAGGUGCACUCGGCUAUUUUGGGCAGGCCAGCAUCAGUUUAGACAGAGGGAAAAAGACUGGGGGAAUGUGACUUUCCUUGGAAAGUGUUAUAGCCUCUGGUGCAAUAUCUCUAGUCCUGGACUGAGGACCGCGCUGCAAAGUGAGGAUGCUGGCAUAAUGGUCGUAAGUGACCCGUCUUGAAACACGGACCAAGGAGUCUAACAGCUGUGCGAGUGUUUGGGUGCUUAAACCCUUGCGCGGAAUGAAAGUGAAUGGAGGUGGGAACUGUCACAAGUGCACCAUCGACCGAUCCUGAAGUCUUCUGAUGGAUUUGAGUAGGAGCAUAGCUGUUGGGACCCGAAAGAUGGUGAACUAUGCCUGAAUAGGGUGAAGCCAGAGGAAACUCUGGUGGAGGCUCGCAGCGGUUCUGACGUGCAAAUCGAUCGUCAAAUUUGGGUAUAGGGGCGAAAGACUAAUCGAACCAUCUAG